GCGUGGCGGGACGCCUUCACGUGCGAGUCGAGCGGUAGACUAGAGAGCCUUUACCCCACCUACUAACCAACGGACGGGGACUAACGGAGGCGUCAGGCUGGUGGAGGCGACAUUGCUGGAUCGGUCGUGCGACCGAUGACGUCUUCCAGGAGAGUCCGGACCUUCGGGCCUCUCCCCAGCCAAUACGCCCCCAUGGGAUUAUCGAGAACGAGAGAGAAAGCCUCCCCGAGCUGACGAUCGAUUUGUAGGAUGAAAGCAUGCCACGCCCCUCUGAAACUAACCCUGGUCCAACUCUUGG
This 298-nucleotide ribosomal RNA is filed under the name Sphaerobacterineae sp. SS9. RNAcentral describes it as "partial 16S ribosomal RNA". The record is from RNAcentral. Lineage: Bacteria; Pseudomonadati; Thermomicrobiota; Thermomicrobia; Sphaerobacterales.